Molecule: ribosomal RNA, 360 nt
Filed under: uncultured Lactobacillus sp.
Lineage: Bacteria; Bacillati; Bacillota; Bacilli; Lactobacillales; Lactobacillaceae
Description: bacterial SSU rRNA
Rfam family: Bacterial small subunit ribosomal RNA
Source: RNAcentral
UGAUCAGCUUUUAAAGGCGGCGUAAAGCUGUCGCUAUGGGGAUGGGCCCCGCGGUGCAUUAGCUAGUUGGCAAGGUAAAGGGCUUACCAAGGCGAUGAUGCAUAGCCCGAGUUGAGAGACUGAUCGGGCCACAUUGGGGACUGAGACACGGGCCCAAACUCCUACGGGAGGCAGCAGUAGGGAAUCUUCCACAAUGGACGCAAGUCUGAUGGAGCAAACGCCGCGUGAGUGAAGAAGGUUUCGGAUCGUAAAAAGCUCUGUUGUUGGUGAAGAAGGAUAGAGGUAGUAACUGGCCCUUUAUUUGACGGUAAUCAACCAGAAAGUCACGGGCUAACUACGUGCCCAGCAGCCGCGGUAAAU